Chenopodium quinoa (quinoa) is the source of this 827-nucleotide long non-coding RNA. RefSeq lists it as uncharacterized. The transcript has 2 exons. The record is from RefSeq and is a predicted model, not a curated record. Lineage: Eukaryota; Viridiplantae; Streptophyta; Magnoliopsida; Caryophyllales; Amaranthaceae.
CUUUAAUGCCCACAACACCAUUUUCAGAAAGCUCCAACUUAAAACCAAAAAAAAAAAAAAAAAAAAAAAAAAAAAAAAAAAAAAAAAAAAAGAAUCCUUUAUUCUCUGCUUGUGUCCAUGUACUGGCCUACUGGUCCCAGCUUUGAGGAUUCAGUUGGGAGAAAAGUUGCACGACUCGGUUCCGUUGAAGGUAUGGAUGCGCUUGAAGAUGCACACCCCCUGUUUAGCUCGCAGGACUUGCUGGUGACCCAUGUGUUCCCAAAGCUGGACUAGGAAGGGAGGGAUGCCAUUGAGUUGACUUACAAGAAAUGGAGGAUGUGGUAGAGGCUCAGGCACUUGGUGUUCACCUACCCCUUCAACGGCCCCAGGGCUGCUAAGAGUGGGUCCUGAAAUAUGUCCUCUACAACAAUGGGAGGGACCUUCAUGCUUGGAUGGAGAAGGACAUGACUGUGUACUUUGACGGCUUCCCAUUGCUGUUCAAGGAGGAGGAAGCCUAGGGACCAUGGGUCUAGUCUAUGGAGCUGUUGGUUUUUGGGUUAGGUAGCUGCUUGGUUUAAGCUUUUUUUUUAUGUUUAUUCUGUAAAAAUUGGGGGUAGUUGUAGUCCUACCUUUGUCAUGGCAAGAUGUAGGGGCAUGUGACAAGCAAUGGUAUUUCAUUUUGUGCUUGUCAAUGCCAUGACAAUGGUUUAGUAGUUUAAGUUGGUGUCUCUGAAUCUUAUGAACUAAUUCUGAUGAUGAUGAUUUGUAAAUAUUAAAUAUUUUGGUUGUAAUGAAUGGAUACAUGGACUUAUUUCCAUGUUUUUAUAAAAUGAAAUGAAGUAGUUUGU